UACGUAGGUGGCAAGCGUUGUCCGGAAUUACUGGGUGUAAAGGGCGUGUAGGCGGGGAUGCAAGUCAGAUGUGAAAUUCCGGGGCUCAACCUCGGAGCUGCAUCUGAAACUGUAUCUCUUGAGUACUGGAGAGGAAAGUGGAAUUCCUAGUGUAGCGGUGAAAUGCGUAGAGAUUAGGAGGAACACCAGUGGCGAAGGCGGCUUUCUGGACAGUAACUGACGCUGAGGCGCGAAAGCGUGGGGAGCAAACAGGAUUAGAAACCCGGGUAGU
This 271-nucleotide ribosomal RNA is filed under the name uncultured bacterium. RNAcentral describes it as "partial 16S ribosomal RNA". It matches the Rfam family "Bacterial small subunit ribosomal RNA", at positions 524 to 794 of the family's 1533-position model. The record is from RNAcentral.